Molecule: long non-coding RNA, 1225 nt
Filed under: Capsicum annuum
Lineage: Eukaryota; Viridiplantae; Streptophyta; Magnoliopsida; Solanales; Solanaceae
Description: long non-coding RNA (CANN_LNC000799)
Source: RNAcentral
UUUUAUUCAAUUGCCAAGGGGGGUAUUUUAUUCCAUUAUUGAGGGUCCAUAUCAAGAGGAUCAUUUCAUUCCAUUCCAAGAGGGUCAUUUCAUUCCAUUCCUAGAGUGCAUUUCAUUCUAUUGAUGAGAGUUUCAUUCCUGUUGAGAGGGCCAUUUCAUUCAAUUAAUGAAAAGCCAUGUCAAGAGGGCCAUUUCAUUUCAUAUCGAGAGUCCCAUCAUACAAUUUAGAUAAGUUUUCAUAACUGCUCAUAUGAAAGAUGAUAAGGUUGGGUUUUGAAAGAUGCUUUAGAUCACAUUUAUCCAUUGACCAUACAAAGAUAACACAAUCUGGCGUCGAGGAUAUCUAAGGAUUUUAUAUUUGUUGACCAUGCAAAAGGAGAUGUAGACCGAUGUCGAGGAUAUUUCAACAUUUUAUGUAUCAACAUUUGAAUGCAUUACCAUAUCAAGAUGAAAAAGCACGUAAUCCAAAGAAACUUUUUUAGGUCACUAACUGAAGGUGGAUGACAUAAUAGAUUUCCCAGAAAUUGACAAUUAGAAGGUCAUAUAUAAGCCACAAUAUUUGAGAUAGGAUUAUGGUCAAGAUUUCCUGUGAGUUGAUGGUCUAUGGUUCAUUCAUAAGUUGCAAACAACAUCCUAACCGGAUAGAAUACUAGAUUAUCCAAAAAUUGACAAUUCGAAGGUUAUCCAUGAGCCUAGCUAAAUCAUUACCGGUUGAUGUACAAGAUUCUCAAAAUUGGCAGUCUGAGGGUUCUCUAUAAGGUGCAACACAUCUAAGAUUAAUUAUGUGCAGGACUAGCCAAAGACUGACAAUUUGAGGGAUGUCCAUAAGCCGUAUUGCAUCCAAGGUUGGAUAAUGUGCAAGAUUAUCUAAAAAGCUGGAGGUUUAAGGGAUAUCUAUAAGACAUCUCUUAUCUAAAGUUGGAUGAUUUGUAGGAUCACCCAGAAGACCAUCAACUCAAAGGAUGUUGUAAGUCAUCUUAUAUCCAACAUCGGAUAAUAUGCAAGAUUACCCCAAGAUUGAAAAAUUGAUGGAUAUCUAUGAGUUAUAUCGAUAUGAAAUAUGCGCAAGACUUACCCAACAAUCGCAUACAAAGGAUCAUUGUUGAUAGACAAAGAGGUUAUCAUUCUAUAUACAAGAAGUAUUAUAGGUGACCAAGAGGGUUUCCACAUCAACAUAAGAUUUCACGAUUGUAGGGACCGAUCUACAUGAAGUGUCAUCGGUACC